This 518-nucleotide ribosomal RNA is filed under the name uncultured delta proteobacterium. RNAcentral describes it as "bacterial SSU rRNA". It matches the Rfam family "Bacterial small subunit ribosomal RNA", at positions 400 to 908 of the family's 1533-position model. Lineage: Bacteria; Deltaproteobacteria. The record is from RNAcentral.
CGUGAGUGAAGAAGGCCCUUGGGUCGUAAAGCUCUGUCGACAGGGAAGAAAUUGGAUUAUAUUAAUAGUAUAUUCCAUUGACGGUACCUGUAGAGGAAGCACCGGCUAACUCCGUGCCAGCAGCCGCGGUAAUACGGGGGGUGCAAGCGUUAUUCGGAAUUAUUGGGCGUAAAGGGCGCGUAGGCGGUCUUGUCGGUCAGAUGUGAAAGCCCGGGGCUCAACCCUGGAAGUGCAUUUGAAACAGCAAGACUUGAGUACGGGAGAGGAAAGCGGAAUUCCUGGUGUAGAGGUGAAAUUCGUAGAUAUCAGGAGGAACACCAAUGGCGAAGGCAGCUUUCUGGACCGAUACUGACGCUGAGGCGCGAAGGCGUGGGUAGCGAACAGGAUUAGAUACCCUGGUAGUCCACGCAGUAAACGUUGUUCACUCGGUGUAGCGGGUAUUAAAAUCUGCUGUGCCCAAGCUAACGCAGUAAGUGAACCGCCUGGGGAGUACGGUCGCAAGACUAAAACUCAAAGAA